This 497-nucleotide ribosomal RNA is filed under the name uncultured bacterium. RNAcentral's name for it is "partial 16S ribosomal RNA". It matches the Rfam family "Bacterial small subunit ribosomal RNA", at positions 28 to 507 of the family's 1533-position model. The record is from RNAcentral.
GAUGAACGCUGGCGGCGUGCCUAAUACAUGCAAGUCGAGCGAACGGACGAGAAGCUUGCUUCUCUGAUGUUAGCGGCGGACGGGUGAGUAACACGUGGAUAACCUACCUAUAAGACUGGGAUAACUUCGGGAAACCGGAGCUAAUACCGGAUGAUAUUUUGAACCGCAUGGUUCAAAAGUGAAAGACGGUCUUGCUGUCACUUAUAGAUGGAUCCGCGCUGCAUUAGCUAGUUGGUAAGGUAACGGCUUACCAAGGCAACGAUGCAUAGCCGACCUGAGAGGGUGAUCGGCCACACUGGAACUGAGACACGGUCCAGACUCCUACGGGAGGCAGCAGUAGGGAAUCUUCCGCAAUGGGCGAAAGCCUGACGGAGCAACGCCGCGUGAGUGAUGAAGGUCUUCGGACCGUAAAACUCUGUCAUUAGGGAAGAACAUAUGUGUAAGUAACUGUGCACAUCUUGACGGUACCUAAUCAGAAAGCCACGGCUAACUACGUG